AAGCGCUUGCAGCCAGACUUGCCUGUAGUUGCUCAUCCGGGCUUUUGCCCGGUGCACUCUUCUGUAGGCAGGCCAGCAUCAGUUUGGGCGGUUGGAUAAAGGCCCUAGGAAUGUGGCUCCUCUCGGGGAGUGUUAUAGCCUAGGGUGCAAUGCAGCCUGCUGGGACCGAGGACCGCGCUUCGGCUAGGAUGCUGGCGUAAUGGUUGUAAGCGG
This 213-nucleotide ribosomal RNA is filed under the name Melanommataceae sp. Its description in RNAcentral is "partial large subunit ribosomal RNA". The record is from RNAcentral. Lineage: Eukaryota; Fungi; Ascomycota; Dothideomycetes; Pleosporales; Melanommataceae.